GGGGGCGACAGGCUUCGACAGGGGCUUGUUUAGAUCUUUGAAUGCACGUCGGGCUUGUGUGGUUAGCUCGUUAAAAAAACUAUACAAAAAACAAAUGCUAAUCAAGAAUUAGCUCUUGCUGCUUAGUUAACUCUAAACCAGAAGUGUCUUAUCGGAAGUCCGCCUGAUGCGACCGAAUAAGGCAUAACUCAUUUCAGGCUCGGAAGCGUUCUCCACCUGCGAACGUAUCUUAAAGUUAGUCGGGUUAGCUUGUUGAGAGGUCUUGUCUGUUCAUCUGCUCUCGACUAGCGAAAAUCAAGUGAACCGACUAAGCGUGUAGAUUUCACUGGUCGCAACCUUUGGAUGCGGGUUCGAUUCCCGCCGCCUCCACCA
Molecule: transfer-messenger RNA, 372 nt
Filed under: Acidobacteriota bacterium
Lineage: Bacteria; Pseudomonadati; Acidobacteriota
Also listed under: 2 other names
Description: Acidobacteria bacterium transfer-messenger RNA
Rfam family: transfer-messenger RNA
About the family: Bacterial tmRNA, also known as 10Sa RNA or SsrA, is named for its dual tRNA and mRNA-like properties. Its role is to liberate the mRNA from a stalled ribosome.
Source: RNAcentral